UUACUGUCAUUUAUUAUAACUGUACCUAGAGUGUCAUCCAAUUCAAUGACACAUAUCUGCAGGUCCAGACAUGCCUUCCACUGGUAUCAUUGUUACGCGUCCAAUCCACUUUUGAAUAGCAUCUAUAACAUGAGGAACAAUCUAUAGGUAGCAACAUUACACAAAGGCUAUUGCAAGCCACGAUAGCUGAUGGGUUUAAUAGUUAUUAAAUAACUGGACAGUUUUUUCAGAUAGUCUCCCCUUCUUUUCUUAUCUAUAACAUGCCAAAAGGGAAAAAAAUUAUUAAAAAGAAAUCAGCUAGCUUAUUAUUCUUUUUGGUUUCUCCUAGCAGCAGACACAAAAAUAAUCAAAAGAGAUGUGCAAGUUAAUCUCACAUGGUAAAUUUUUCCAGUACUGAUAUUAUUGUCUCUUCUCAACUUGAUAUCCAGAAAAUUCAUGAUUUCUGAUGUCCAGGUUCACCUUUAAAACAACAAAAAAAAAGUCAUUUUCUUCCCAACCUUUUAAGUUGUGAUACUUUCUAAAUAAUAAUCAAUAGAAAUGAUAAAAGAAAUGAUAAUUGAAAAUUACUCGAUUUUUAGGAAUUAUAUAAAAAGGAAAUAAGAAACUCCCACAUCUACAAAAUAAAAUAAAAAAAGCAUGUAAAAGAUGUUGACUUAUUUGCUAAUCUUAGCUAAUUCUAGGGAUUUGAUUUGAUCUGAUUAGGAUUCUUAAUUAUGUCUGUAAUUAUUAUUUGAUUAAUUAUUUGCUUCCUAUUUAGAUAUGAUUCUUUGUGUAUAAAUAGUCAUGUAGACCAAUUGUAAAGAUUAAGAGUGAAAUACAAGAAUACUCAAAAUUUUUCCAAAAUUCUUCAUGGUAUCAUAGCCUUUUCCUGAUUUUUUGGGUCCAAAUUUAAUUUUUCUUCUUUAGGGUUUCAAAACCUUAGAUCUACCUUUUUUGGUACUAAUCUAUCUAGGAGCCUCUCAUUCUCUCACCGCCGACACCAGGAGAACCGCCGAACUGCCGCCGGACUGCCGCCGGCCGAUCAACCAGCUCCGAUGUCGGAAAAGCCUAUGCGUGAGGCUCACGCGCCACCCCUUCCCGGCGCGUGACCUGUCACUUCCUAGCGCAUGACCCAUUGUCUGUCACUGCAUCGCCGCUCCGAUCACUCCGGCGACGAUUCCGACCAUCUUUCCGGCCUUCUCGUGCUGUUACUCGGUCUUUUGGUGAAUCAAUUGGGCUUUCUUGUAUGUACAACCUUGGGUACCUCCUAUUCUUUCACGGUUCAUAAAUCUUUACUAUGGCAGAAGGUAAAAGGGUCUCGAUUCCUAAAACUCUGAUAAUCCUUCCUUGCAAAUUAGUCCCAUAAAACUUGAUGGAACCAAUUAUCUUGCUUGGUCAAAGUCUUGUUUGUUGUUCAUAAAUCUUUACUAUGGCAGAAGGUAAAAGGGUCUCGAUUCCUAACUCUGAUAAUCCUUCCUUGCAAAUUAGUCCCAUAAAACUUGAUGGAACCAAUUAUCUUGCUUGGUCAAAGUCUUGUUUGUUGUUUAUCAAGGCUAGAGGACUGCAGGAUUAUGUUACUGGUAAUAAAAAACAACCUGAUGAGAGGGAUCCAGAUUUUCCUCAAUGGGACUCGGAUAAUUGUCUUGUUAUGACAUGGUUACUGAACUCUAUGCAACCUCAUAUCUCUAAGUCCUAUUUGUUAAUUGAUACUGCUGCAAAAAUAUGGAAAGCUUUGUCCUUAACUUAUUCCAAGAUUGGGAAUGAUGCCCAAAUUUAUGAUAUUCGGAAUAAGAUUCAUGGUACUAAGCAAGGAGAAAUGACUAUCUCCCAAUUUUAUUCUGAGUUAUGUGGCUUAUAAUAGGAGCUUGAUUACUAUCAAGACUUCUAGGCAUACUGCACUGGAGAUACAGUCAAAUUUCGGAGAAUGAUUGAAAAGAAGCGGGUCUAUGAUUUUCUUGCAGGGUUGAAUAACGAAUAUGAUCCAAUUCGGGUCCAAGUGUUGGGAAGAAAUCCUUUUCCUUCUCUAGAAGAGGCCCACGCCCAUGUUCAACAAGAGGAAAGUCGUCGACAUGUUAUAUACUGCACCAGUUGAAAAGGCUGGGUUGACUACUAGUUUGAGCACACCACAACCUCCUACUAUUGAGAAAGAUCACUUACACUAUGACUAUUGUGGAAAACCGAGGCAUACCAAAGAGACUUGUUGGAAGUUACAUGGUCGUCCCACUAGAGGUCGUGGAGGAAAAUGAGGUACCUCUAGAAAUCAAGCUACUUUAGCAGAAACUGUGGAGGAGCCCUUUAAGGAGACAACAACGACUGAGUUUCUUUCCCCUAAUGAACUUCAAAGUCUCAAGCGCUUCUUGUCUCAUAUUGACACCUCUUCAUCCUCUGAUGCCACAUCUAACUUUGUAAAGUCAGGUAAUGCUUCCUCUUUUAAUAAUGUUCCAUAGAUUAUCGAUUCUGGUGCGAAUAGACAUAUGACAGGCUCUUCUAAAGGCUUUCUCAAUUAUUCUCCUUCUCUAACCAAAGACAGUGUUAGAAUUGUUGAUGGCUCUUUUACUCCCAUAUCCGGAACAGGUUCUGUUAUUUGCACAUCCAACAUUAAAUUAUCAUUUGUCCUUCAUGUUCCCCACUUUCCUGUCAACCUUUUAUCUGUCAGUGUUAUCACCAAUGCUCUUAACUAUAAAAUUGAAUUCUUUCCUGAUCAUUGUGUUAUUCAGGAUCUUCGCACAGGGAAGAGGAUUGGCAAUGGUAGGCUGCAUGAUGGCUUAUACAUGUUGGAGGGUGAUCCGGGUUCUUCGAUAUCUCAAGCCUGUUUUGGAGAAAAUAAGGAUGUCAAUCGGGAAAUAAUACAGUGGCACCGGCGGUUAGGGCAUCCAUCAUUUUUUAUCUUAGAAAAACUUUAUCCUGAUCUGUUUGCUAAAACCCAGUUUGGCUCUUUAUUUUGUGAUGCUUGUGAGUAUGCUAAACACACUAGAACAUCCUAUCCUUUGAGUCAUAAUAAAAGUCAAAUUUCUUUUGACAACUAUUCAUUCUGAUGUUUGGGAGCCUACUCAAACUGUCUCCUUAUCCGGUAAUCGAUGGUUUGUCACCUUUAUUGAUUGUUGUACUCGAAUGACUUGGGUCUAUCUGAUUAAAGCUAAAAGUGAUGUCUUUUCUUGUUUUCAAUAUUUUCAUAAGAUGGUUUGUACUCAAUUUGAUACUAAAGUGAAAAUUUUGAGAACUGAUAAUGGAAGAGAAUACAUGGAUAGUACCUUUUCUGCUUAUUUGGAGUAAUGGGAUAGUACACCAGACUAGUUGUCCUUAUACUAGUGCUCAAAAUGGCGUUGCUGAGAGAAAAAAUAGGCAUCUAUUGGAGGUAGCUCGAUCUCUUAUGUUCACCAUGAAUCUAUCCAAAGCAUAUUGGGGAGAUGCAAUCCUUAUAUCUGCUUACCUUAUAAAUAGAAUGCCUCUCAAGACCCUUGACUUUAUGAGUCCUUUAGCGGUUCUACAAGAGAAGAAUUCAUAUUGUUGAAUCCCACAUCGGUUGUGGAAAGGGGUAAUGUGCCCCUUAUAUGGGCCAUAGGCACUCCUCCCCCUUGAGCUAGCUUUUGGGGUGAGUUAGGCCUGGCCCAAAUUUAACAUGAUAUCAGAGCCUCCCCAUCCGAUGUUGGGCACCCCAUAAAUGUGCCACGCACCGGUAAAAAUUCUGGACGUGAGGGGGUGUGUUGAAUCCCACAUCGGUUGUGGAAAGGGGUAAUGUGCCCCUUAUAUGGGCCAUAGGCACUCCUCCCCCUUGAGCUAGCUUUUGGGGUGAGUUAGGUCUGGCCCAAAUUUAACACAUAUGUUGUUCCACCAAAAGUAUUUGGGUGUGUUUAUUUUGUCCAUACUAGGACGGUAGGGAAAUUGGAUCCCAAGGCCCUCAAAUGUGUGUUUGUUGGGUAUUCUCCGACACAGAAGGGAUAUAGGUGUUAUCACCCUCCCUCUAGAAAAUACUUAGUCAGUAUGGAUGUUACCUUUCGAGAAACUGAACCCUACUUCAAUACCACCCACUCACCUCUUCAGGAGGAGAAUAAUGAGCAAGAAGAGGUGAUCCCGAAUUGUGUGAUUCUGGAUAAUAUGGUUCAACUAGAGAGUUUGAGUUCUAAUCGACGGGGGAGAUGUCCAAUCAGGGAGAAAGAAUUGGUCGUUUGGACAAACCAGAUUUGAGAAGGUAUUCAAGGAGAGACAAGGCAGAAGAAGCCAUUAUGCAGUCUACUCAGAGUUAAGAAUCUUCUUCUGGUGAGUUACCCACAACUCUUGAAUGCUUCAAUGAUUUAGAUAAACCGAUUGCACAAAGAAAACGAGUUAGAUCUCGUACUAAACAUCCUCUUUCUAACUUUGUUUCUUAUGAAUCCUUGUCUCCUUCCUAUAGAGCCUUUGCCUUGCCUAUUUCCUCUGUAUCUAUUUCACAGGAUUGGAAGAAAGCUCUUGCAGAACCUAAAUGGAAGGACGCAAUGAUUGAAGAGAGGAAAGCAUUGGCUAAAAAUGAAACCUAGGAGCUUGUCACUCUUCUACCUGGAAAGAAACUCGUUGGCUGUAAGUGGGUGUUCACAGUGAAAUACAAAGCUGAUGGUACAAUCGAAUGAUUUAAGGCCAGAUUGGUUGCUAAAGAUUUCACCCAAACCUAUGGAGUGGAUUAUCAAGAGACAUUUACCCCAGUUGCAAAAAUAAAUUCAAUCAGAAUUCUAUUAUCUUGCGCGGCCAACUUGGACUGGGACUUACAACAGUUUGAUGUGAAGAAUGCUUUCCUCCAUGGAGAUUUAGAGGAAGAAGUAUUCAUGGAAAUUCCUCUUGGGUUCGCUGAUGAGAAGACACAAGGAAAGGUGUGCAAGUUAAAAAAAGCUUUGUAUGGGCUAAAACAAUCUCCCAGAGCUUGGUUUGACAGGUUUAGUGGAGCCAUGAUGUCUUUUGGUUACCAACAAAGCAAUGUUGAUCACACUUUGUUUAUCAAACAUCAUAAGGGUAAGAUCACCCUUCUUAAUGUGUAUGUUGAUGAUAUAGUGUUGACAGGUGAUGACAAAGAGGAAAUGGCUCAACUAAAGAGGUUGUUGGCUCAGGAAUUUGAAAUCAAAGAUCUGGGAAAACUGCAAUAUUUUCUAGGUAUUGAGAUGGCUAGAUCAGAAAAAGGAAUUUUCAUCUCCCAAAGAAAGUACAUUAUGGAUCCUUUGGAAGAAACUGGUAUGAUGGGGUGUAAACCAGCAGAAUCUCCAAUUGAAAGUAAUCACAAGCUGAAAGCAAGAACUGGCGAGUCCGUGGAUAUUGGAAGAUAUCAGAGAUUGGUAGGAAGGUUGAUUUAUCUCUCACAUACUCGACCGGAUAUAGCCUAUGUUGUUAGCUUAGUCAGCCAAUUCAUGCAUGACCCUCGCGAGACUCAUAUGCAAGCUGUACUUCGCAUCUUGAGAUACCUAAAGUCUACGCCAGGGAAAGUGUUUUUUUACUCCAAACAUGGUCACCUCCGAAUUGAAACUUUUACAGAUGCAGAUUGGGCAGGAUCUCUCGAUGACAGGAGAUCCACAUCUGCCUACUGCACAACUAGUGGAGGGAACCUUGUCACUUGGAGGAGUAAAAAACAAAGUGUUGUUGCUCGGUCAAGUGCGGAAGCAGAAUACAAAGCAAUGUCCCAAGGAGUGUGUAAACUCUUAUGGUUGCAGAAGUUAUUGGAAGAGUUGAGAUUGUCCGAGAGAGACAAGAUAACCUUGUAUUGUGACAAUAGAGCUGCUAUAAGUAUAGCACAAAAUCCAGUCCAACAUGACCGAACAAAAUACAUUGAAAUUGAUCGGCACUUCAUUAAAGAAAAAUUAACGGACGGUGUCUUGAGCCUAGUUCAUGUGACUUCUACUGAGCAACUUGCGGAUGUGUUUACUAAAUGGCUUAACAACAAGAUCUACCAUAAUCUGAUUUGCAAGUUGGGCAUGUGUGACAUCUUUGCACCAAUUUGAGGGGGAGUGUUGACUUUUUAGCUAAUCUUAGCUGAUUCUAGGAAUUUGAUUGGAUCUGAUUAGGAUCCUUAAUUAUCUCUGUAAUUAUUAUUUGAUUAAUUAUUUGAUUCUUGUUUAAAUAUGAUUCUUUGUGUAUAAAUAGUCAUCUAGACCAAUUAUAAAGAUUAAGAGUGAAAUUGACAAGAAUACUCAAAAUUUUCUCAAAAUUCUUCAAAAGAAAAUGAAUUUGAAACAGGAAAAAGUUAAUUAUGAUCAUAAAUUGCAAAAUUUACCUUUUGUAUAUGGAUUUCUCCAUAAUAUCAACAAAAAACAAUUUUUUUUCCAUUUACUUAAAAGAGAAGGAAUGAAAGAAGAGGAAGAGACCUAUCUGAUGAAAAUAACACGAAUACUAAAAAUCAACUACUAACCACUAACCACAAACUCUUAACCCUAACCCUAACCUUAACCCUAUACUAACCCUAACACUUCACAAAUACUUAACAAACACUUCACAAACACAUAACAAACACUUCACAAACACUUAACAAAAACUUCAAAAACACUUAACAAACAAUAAACACUUGAACAUCAUACGUAAACUUCACACAUAAGUGUUUAUACAAAUACUUAAAAAACAGUUAACAAAUACUUUAACAAACACUUCACAAACACUUAACAAACACUAACAUUUAAGCAUCACACUUCACACUUAAAUACUAAACACCUUAACACACAAACAUACUCACACGCUUCAAACUUAACAAACAUUAACACUUAAACAUUACACUUCAUACUUUCACACUUAAAAAAUUAAACAUUUAACACUUAAACACACAAAUAAACUUACACACUCGUACACUUCAACAAACACUUAUACGUAACAAAAACUUAACAAAACACUUCAAAAAUACUGCACAAGGAUUUAACAAAUACUAACACUUGACAAACAGUAAUACUUAAAUAUCACACUUCACACUUAACACCUAAACACACAAACACUUUAACAGUACACACUUCACACCAUUUCACACUACACACUUCACACUUAAACAAAUAUUUUAACACUUUACGCUUCAAUAAACACUUUAACUUUUAACACCUUAACACUUCACACUUCACACUUCACAAACACUACCAUUCACCAAACACUACAACUUAAACAUCACACUUCACACAUAAGUAUUAACACCUUAACAGCUAAAUACACUUAAAAAAAACGUAACAAAUACUUCACAAACACUUAACAAACUAAUACCUAAGCAUCACACUUCACACCUUCACACUUAAACACCCCAACACACAAACACACUCACACACUUCACACUUAAGAAACACUAACACUUAAACAUCACACUUCACACUGCACGCUUUCACACAUAAACACUUAAACACCUAAACACUUAACACCUUAAGACCUAACUUUACAUACUUCACACGCUUCACACACUUCACACUUAAGAAACAAUAACACUUAAACAUCACACUUCACACUGCACAUUUUCACACGUAAACACCUAAACACCUAACUUAACACUUCACACACUUCACACUUCACACACUUCACAAACUUCACACUCUUCACAUUUCACACACUUCACACUCUUCACAACACCUAACUUCACACUUCACACACUUCACACUUCACACUUCACACUACACUUCACAUACAAUACACACACACUUUAAACUUCACACUCCACACUCUUCGCACUUCGCACUUCGCACUUCGCACUUCGCACUUCGCACUUCGCACUUCGCACUUCGCACUUCGCACUUCGCACUUCGCACUUCGCACUUCGCACUUCGCACUUCGCACUUCGCACUUCACACACUUCACGCUCUUCAUACUCUUCACAACACCUAACUUCAUAUUUCACACACUUCACACACUUUACACACUUUACACUUCACACACAAUUCACACACACUUCACACUUCACACUUCACACUCUUUGCACUUCACAUUUCACACUUCACACUCAUCACACUUGACACUCAUCACACUUGACACUUGACACUUCACACAUUUCACACUUCACACGUCACGCACUUGAACACUUUACACCCAUCACAAUUCACACUUCACACACUUCACACUUCCCCAAUUCCCGCACUUUGCACUUUGUCACACUUUGUCACAAUUCAAAUUUGUCAAACAUUUACACUUCACACAGCACACUUCACAUUUCACACUUUUCACACACUUCACAACAAGUGCUGAACAAAAUACUUACAAAACACUUCAAAAACACAUCUCAAGGACUUAACAAACAAUAACACUUAAAUAAACACUUAAAAAUCACACUUCACUAUUUACACCAAAACACCCAAACACAAACACUUAACCACUUCAAACCACUUCACCCUUCACACUACACACUUCAUACUUUAAAACAAAUACUUAAGCAUUUCAUACUGAAAUAAUUACUUUAACAUUCCACACAUGAACACAAACACACAAACACUUCACACUUGAACACUUAAUAGCUUAAAACAAACACCUUUAACACCUAAACACACAAACACACAAACACUUCACAAGUAAAUAAACACUUCACAAACAAUUACACUUAACUAACACAUAUAAAACACUUCACUAACAGUUAACAAACACUAACACUUAAAAAUUACACUUCACACUUAAAAAAAACACUUUAACACUUUAACGCUUAAACACACACUUUAACACUUAACACUUAAGCACACACUUUAGCACUUCACACUCAACACUUAACCACACACUUUAACACUUUAACGCUUAAACACACACUUUAACACUUAACACUUAAACACACACUUUAGCACUUCACACUCAACACAUAAACACACACUUAAACACUUAACACUUCAACACCUUAACACCUAAAUACCCAAACACCCAAAUACCCCAACACUAAUUGAUUUUAUAUGUACUAUUCCUAGAGAACUUACAUUUACAUUAUAAUAUAGGAAAGAGACUGAUUCAAGUAUAUAAUUUCUAUGAAUAAAAUUAUAUUUCAAAAACAUGUUUAAAUGCAAAACGAAAUUUAAAAAAUUAAAAAUUACAAAAAACCUUUAUCCUACCCCGCACUCUAAUAUAUAGAAGUAAGAAACUCUAUUACUUCAAUAAGAAUUAGAAAGCACCCGUCAAGUUUUGGCUUCAACUUCAUCUACUACCAAUAUAUUGUUGUGUAGUGCCAACUGUGCUUCUUCUAUCUGCAAACAAAAGAGUGAUUUAUGAGAAAAUAGAUAUCAACUGCAAAAUAAAGCUAGACCACUCAACUUGCAUCAUCAUAUGAAUUUAUAAAUACAUAUGCUUUUACCAACUCAAUAUGAUAAUUGACCUAGAACCUUGAUAAAUGGCAUGGACUCAAAAUCUCCUGCAAGCAUGAAAGUUGGUCGUAACAAACAGAAAAUUUUGAAAAUAAAUGUUACUGUCAUUUAUUAUAACUGUACCUAGAGUGUCAUCCAAUUCAAUGACACAUAUCUGCAGGUCCAGGCAUGCCUUCCACUGGUAUCAUUGUUACGCGUCCAAUCCACUUUUGAAUAGCAUCUAUAACGUGAGGAACAAUCUAUAGGUAGCAACAUUACACAAAGGCUAUUGCAAGCCACAAUAGCUGAUGGGUUCAAUAGUUAUUAAAUACCUGGACAGUUUUUUCAGAUAGUCUCCCCUUCUUUUCUUAUCUAUAACAUGC
This 9589-nucleotide long non-coding RNA is filed under the name Manihot esculenta (cassava). Its description in RNAcentral is "long non-coding RNA (MESC_LNC007569)". The record is from RNAcentral. Lineage: Eukaryota; Viridiplantae; Streptophyta; Magnoliopsida; Malpighiales; Euphorbiaceae.